This 775-nucleotide ribosomal RNA is filed under the name Neovaginatispora fuckelii. RNAcentral's name for it is "partial large subunit ribosomal RNA". It matches the Rfam family "Eukaryotic large subunit ribosomal RNA", at positions 130 to 921 of the family's 3401-position model. Lineage: Eukaryota; Fungi; Ascomycota; Dothideomycetes; Pleosporales; Lophiostomataceae. The record is from RNAcentral.
GCGGGGGUCCGAGUUGUAAUUUGCAGAGGGUGCUUUGGCGUUGGCUGUGGUCUAAGUUCCUUGGAACAGGACGUCGCAGAGGGUGAGAAUCCCGUAUGUGGCCGCCAGUCUUCGCCGUGUAAAGCCCCUUCGACGAGUCGAGUUGUUUGGGAAUGCAGCUCUAAAUGGGAGGUAAAUUUCUUCUAAAGCUAAAUAUCUGCCAGAGACCGAUAGCGCACAAGUAGAGUGAUCGAAAGAUGAAAAGCACUUUGGAAAGAGAGUCAAAAAGCACGUGAAAUUGUUGAAAGGGAAGCGCUUGCAGUCAGACGUGCCUCUAGUUGCUCAGCCGGGCCUUCGGGCCCGGUGCACUCUUCUAUUGGCAGGCCAGCAUCAGUCUGGGCGGUCGGAUAAAGGCCCAUUAAACGUGACUCCCUCCGGGGAGAGCUUAUAGGGUGGGCGACAUGCGACCAGCCCGGACUGAGGUCCGCGCAUCUGCUAGGAUGCUGGCUUAAUAACUGUAAGCGGCCCGUCUUGAAACACGGACCAAGGAGUCUAACAUCUAUGCGAGUGUUUGGGUGUCAAGCCCGGACGCGUAAUGAAAGUGAACGGAGGUGGGAUCCCUUCGGGGUGCACCAUCGACCGAUCCUGAUGUCUUCGGAUGGAUUUGAGUAAGAGCAUAGCUGUUGGGACCCGAAAGAUGGUGAACUAUGCCUGAAUAGGGUGAAGCCAGAGGAAACUCUGGUGGAGGCUCGCAGCGGUUCUGACGUGCAAAUCGAUCGUCAAAUUUGGGCAUAGG